Molecule: ribosomal RNA, 490 nt
Filed under: uncultured bacterium
Lineage: Bacteria
Description: partial 16S ribosomal RNA
Rfam family: Bacterial small subunit ribosomal RNA
Source: RNAcentral
AUUGAACGCUGGCGGCAGGCCUAACACAUGCAAGUCGAACGGUAACAGGAAGCAGCUUGCUGCUUCGCUGACGAGUGGCGGACGGGUGAGUAAUGUCUGGGAAACUGCCUGAUGGAGGGGGAUAACUACUGGAAACGGUAGCUAAUACCGCAUAACGUCGCAAGACCAAAGAGGGGGACCUUAGGGCCUCUUGCCAUCAGAUGUGCCCAGAUGGGAUUAGCUAGUAGGUGGGGUAACGGCUCACCUAGGCGACGAUCCCUAGCUGGUCUGAGAGGAUGACCAGCCACACUGGAACUGAGACACGGUCCAGACUCCUACGGGAGGCAGCAGUGGGGAAUAUUGCACAAUGGGCGCAAGCCUGAUGCAGCCAUGCCGCGUGUAUGAAGAAGGCCUUCGGGUUGUAAAGUACUUUCAGCGGGGAGGAAGGGAGUAAAGUUAAUACCUUUGCUCAUUGACGUUACCCGCAGAAGAAGCACCGGCUAACUCCGUG